CAAUAGCGUAUCCUAAAGUUGUUGCGGUUAAAAAGCUCGUAGUUGGACUUCUACGAAGGACAGUCGGCCCGCCCUCUGGGUGUGGCACGAUUUGACCUCCGUAUCUGCGCCGAGAACGCUUGCGAUUUCGGUGCCAUUUACCCUGAGGAAAUCAGAGUGUUCGCAGCAGGCUAUUGCCUUGAAUGUUGUAGCAUGGGAUAAUAACAUAAGCGUGUGUCGCUCCUGUUGGUUCAAGUGGCCCACGCGAAGAUUAAUAGGAACAGUUGGGGGCAUUCGUAUUCUGAUGUCAGAGGUGAAAUUCUUGGAUUUUCAGAGGACGUACUACUGCGAAAGCAUUUGCCAAGGAUGUUUUCAUUG
This 357-nucleotide ribosomal RNA is filed under the name uncultured eukaryote. RNAcentral describes it as "partial 18S ribosomal RNA". It matches the Rfam family "Eukaryotic small subunit ribosomal RNA", at positions 592 to 975 of the family's 1831-position model. The record is from RNAcentral.